AAUGGUAAUAAAAGGCUCAAUUAUCUAAGUUUAUGUUAUUUAUUACAUAUUCCCAUUUACGACACGCUAAAUUUUUUUUCAUCUCAUCACGGUAUCUAUAUAUAAACAAGAGGAUUUGUACAAAUAACUCAGUUUCGUCGCUACGGUAAAAGAAUGGAACCUUCCAUGUCAGUUGAUGUUCAAAAGUGCUAAGGAUGUAAUUACCGUUUCGGUGUAUAGUUAACGUUCGAGUAUUUGUGUGACUAUUAUACUUGCUAGUGUUAAUCUAUUCCGUUUUCUUCGAUGAAUACUUGCCGCUGAACAUUUUUGUCCGAAAGAUUCGCUUCGGAAAGAGAAUGAGAUGGAAUUUUUAGUUUUUUGGGGAAUGCAGAAGAUCUUAAGGGUUUCCCCAGCACACAAAUUUAGAGAAAGGAAGAGGUCACAUCAUUAUCAUCUACUGAUCUCCGUUAUUGGCGUGCAGUCCCCUACAGGCGAAUGACCAGCAUGCCCUAUGCACAGAAACAAACGAAAACAUAUCCAGGUCGUUGCUUUCUAGUUCGUAAUGGAUCUGGGGACCAGUUGCAAGUUCUUACUUAGAGGAUGAGAGGUACAUGGGAAAUUCUAUCAGUUUUCAUCCCUCCUCAUUCAGUUAAG
This is a long non-coding RNA of Macrobrachium nipponense, 633 nucleotides long. RefSeq lists it as uncharacterized. Lineage: Eukaryota; Metazoa; Arthropoda; Malacostraca; Decapoda; Palaemonidae. The transcript has 5 exons. The record is from RefSeq and is a predicted model, not a curated record.